Molecule: unclassified non-coding RNA, 376 nt
Filed under: soil metagenome
Description: partial contains 5.8S ribosomal RNA, internal transcribed spacer 2, and large subunit ribosomal RNA
Rfam family: 5.8S ribosomal RNA (bases 1-120)
Source: RNAcentral
GAUGAAGAACGUAGCGAAAUGCGAUAAGUAGUGUGAAUUGCAGAAUUCCGUGAAUCAUCGAAUCUUUGAACGCACAUUGCGCCUUCUGGUAUUCUGAGGAGCAUGCCUGUUUGAGUGUCAUUAAAUUCUCAACUACACUGACUUUGAAUUGGUGUGGCUUGGAUUUGGGGGGAAAAUUGUUGUGGGCUUUUUGUAUAGUCUGCUCCCCUGAAAUUGAUUAGCGGUACCUUUGUGGAACUGUCUACAGGUGUGAUAAUUAUCUACAUCUUAGACAUCUGCUGGAAUGCUGCUUUCUAAACCUUACUUGUAUUGACAAUCUUGACCUCAAAUCAGGUAGGACUACCCGCUGAACUUAAGCAUAUCAAUAAGCGGAGGA